This 580-nucleotide small RNA is filed under the name Pongo abelii (Sumatran orangutan). RNAcentral's name for it is "processed transcript". Lineage: Eukaryota; Metazoa; Chordata; Mammalia; Primates; Hominidae. The record is from RNAcentral.
AGUAGCUGGUGCCUUCCCGGAAGGGUCAGAGGCGGGCUCGGGCAAGCACUUUCAGCUUUUAAGCCCAAACAGAUGAGUUGCCUGCAGUUUUGGAGGCCUUCAGAGCAUUUCACUAGACCUCUGUCUGUGUCAGUCCAGUGUCUUUAGCCAAGCUUUGAUUAAAGAUGACUUCCUUGUUUGCUCAAGAAAUUCGCCUUUCUAAAAGACAUGAAGAAAUAGUAUCACAAAGAUUAAUGUUACUUCAACAAAUGGAGAAUAAAUUGGGUGAUCAACACACAGAAAAGGCAUCUCAACUCCAAACUGUUGAGACUGCUUUUAAAAGGAACCUUAGUCUUUUAAAGUACUUCAAUAAACAUUUAUUGAGCAUCUAUUAUAUCACAAACAGUGCUUGCUGCUAGAGAUGCUGCCUCUUCUCUUUUUUUGCAUUCUUUGAGUCAUUGCAUAUGCAAUUUUUAAAAUCCUACUUUCCCUCAUAUGUUUUUAAACUUUGGAAAGAAUUUUAGUGGCUCUACCAUAGAAGUCAUUAUGAAAGUAAAAUAAAUGAGACUUAGCCGGGCACAGUGGCUCAUGUCUAUAAUCU